This is a long non-coding RNA of Neofelis nebulosa (Clouded leopard), 1640 nucleotides long. RefSeq lists it as uncharacterized. The record is from RefSeq and is a predicted model, not a curated record. NCBI's taxonomy places the organism in Eukaryota, Metazoa, Chordata, Mammalia, Carnivora, Felidae. The transcript has 3 exons.
CUCCAGGAAGCCCACCUGCUCUCCCAGGCUUCCUACACUGUCAGACCUCCACCCAGAAGCCCUUGCUGUUACCUCCUGCACAGCCUUGGUUUUCUCUGGCCCUGGACCUUUGCCCCCGAGACUGCCCCCUACACUGCACUGUCUCCACCCGUCCUGCCCGCCAUCUGUCUCCUCUCCAGAUGGAGGGGUGUUGAAAUUUACCCCUCCAAGGACCAGCUAAAAGUCACCAUCUUAAACCCACAAGGAUACCGAGCAUGUAGGCACAGGGACCCUGCUGGGAAGAGGGAGGGAUCCGGGCCCCGGGCCUCAAGAUGCUCCUGGUUUAACAACAGCACUGUUUCCAUCGCUGGAAGCCAGGUGCUGUUCUGAGCACUGCUUGUAGAAUGAUCUCUGCAUGGAGGAUGCCCAUGGUGCAGAGGAGGGAAACCGGCCUUCUUCAGAGAGGUCAUCUACACGCAGGUGCAACGUGAUGGAAAGGGGGCUUGAACCCAGGCAGUGUAGUCCAGGGUUAGUCUCAAAACCACAGUAUGGCCGCCUUUUCCCAGGGAGCAGAAAGGGUCAUUCCAAGCCAUGGAAGCCAAAUUAAAACCCUUUUAUAGUACUCAAAGGGGCCACAAAACAAACCUUGGCAAAGACAGAAUACAACAGCCUUCUCUAGCCUGCCCUCCCAGGAAGGCAGCUUGAGUGGAUCUCAUAACCAACUCGUCUUUAGCACACUUGUUCCUCACACUGGCUAGGGCUCUCUGCCCUGCUCCUGAGCCCCCAGGGUCCCCCCAUCACAGCGUUUACUUUCCCCCAUCUGACCUCUCCUGUCCAUUAUGAGGUCAAGGCCAGCUCUUCCCGUGUUAUCAACAGCCCCCGGAGCACCCAGCACUCUGAAGACGUGUUGAAUGACUGGACCAGAAGACCCCUACCCACUCAAGCUCCUGCCACUCCUCUUCUCCCUGCACACGACCGCGUCCUCAACCCCAGGCUUCAGGAACCACUCAGCCCAUGCUUUACAGAUGAAACCAAUAAAAUGUGAUAGAUGGGGACAAGAAAGGGACUAACACCCGCCAAUGUUUAUCCUGCACUAGGGGGUUGGCACAUUCAUACCCGGGGCAUGAAAGCAGUGUUCCCAGCAUCACAUACCCAGGAGAGGGUACAGCUAGGACCCGAAGCCUCCAGUUACGGAAGGAAAAGGUCUGAGCCACUACAGAUGAUGUGCCAACCUGAAAUAAGAAUAGGAAGCUCGAUUUCCAGAUGAUUUAGAAAGAGAACUAAUAUACACCUGGCUGCAGACACAGUGAAUAUACCUCAGGGAUGUUCUCAGGAUGGAAAAUAAAAGAUGCUGAGGUCACUGCCCUUUCUAUCUUUUUUUAGAAAAAGAAAAAAAGUGUGAACUUAAUGAUGAAAUUAUUUGCAGUGCUCUGAAGGGUGGAUGGCAGAGCAGAGCAACUCUGAAGGCACUGAAAAGAGGUGGGAAGUCAGUUGGCACUUCAAAGGACCCCAGGACCUUUGCACAACCCUGGGCAGAAGAGAAUGGAAAGUUCCAAUUGUGACAGAAACAGAAAUUCCCACAUCAGUGUGAGGUGGGGGCUCAGGGUCAGAUUUAUGGCAGUGGAAAUAAAAUAAAGCGUGAUAUUUAUUGCCCCCCUACA